CCAUAGGUUUCAACCUAAGUUUGUAAUAAACCAUAAGUUUCAACUAAGUAUAUUUAUGGUUUAAAAACUAAGUAUAUUUUAGCUCAUCCAUCCAUUUGAUAGUUUGUAGUAAACCAUGCGUUUCACCUUCCUUGACCAAUAAUAACAUAUAUGUAUCCCUUUAUAAUGAUACUCCCUUUAUAAUGAUGUCCUAGAUACAUAAUAUAUA
Molecule: long non-coding RNA, 208 nt
Filed under: Medicago truncatula (barrel medic)
Lineage: Eukaryota; Viridiplantae; Streptophyta; Magnoliopsida; Fabales; Fabaceae
Description: long non-coding RNA (MTRU_LNC004542)
Source: RNAcentral